Molecule: non-coding RNA, 76 nt
Filed under: Actinacidiphila glaucinigra
Lineage: Bacteria; Bacillati; Actinomycetota; Actinomycetes; Kitasatosporales; Streptomycetaceae
Source: RNAcentral
GGGAAGCCGGUGCGAAUCCGGCGCUGACCCGCAACCGUGAGCCGUCCCCGCCCGGGGAGGGCCCAGCCGGAGCACC